UAACAAAAACAUGGUUUUUUGAUUAUAAUUUAAAAUUGGUUCUGCUCACUGAAUAUUUAAAUUUAAAGAGCUGCAGUAUAUUAACUGUGCAAAGGUAGCAAAAUCAUUUGUUUUUUAAUUGUGAACUUGAAUGAAAGAGCUGAUGAGAUAUAAACUGUCUCUUGAUAAAUUAAUAGAAAUUGAAUUUUGAGUUAAAAUUCUUAAAUAUUUUUAUUAGACGAGAAGACCCUAUAGAAUUUUAUAAAUUUUAUUUAAUGGUUUAUAAAGAUUAAUUUUUACUGUUAUAUUUAUGUUUAUUUAAUUGGGAGGAUUAUUAAAUUUGUUGAACUUUAAAAUUUAAAAUUAACAAUAAUUUUUGAUGGGUUGAUUAAAAAAUAAUUAAAAGAUUAAAUUACCUUAGGGAUAACAGCGUAAUAGUUUUGGAGAGAUCAUAUUAAUAGAAUUGUUUGCGACCUCGAUGUUGAAUUAAGGUAAAAAUUAAAUGUAGAAGUUUAAUAUUUAAGUCUGUUCGACUUUUAAAAUCUUACGUGAUCUGAGUUC
RNAcentral lists this ribosomal RNA (540 nucleotides) under Neozeleboria sp. W51. RNAcentral's name for it is "partial 16S ribosomal RNA". The stretch from base 402 to 540 matches the Rfam family "Bacterial large subunit ribosomal RNA", at positions 2473 to 2612 of the family's 2925-position model. Lineage: Eukaryota; Metazoa; Arthropoda; Insecta; Hymenoptera; Thynnidae. The record is from RNAcentral.